GUUCACUUCGGCAGUACAUAACACUAAAAUUGGAACGAUACAGAGAAGAUGACCAUGGCCCCUGCGCAAGGAAGACACAGAUUUGUGAAGUGUUCCAUAUUUCU
This is a small nuclear RNA of Ailuropoda melanoleuca (giant panda), 104 nucleotides long. NCBI's taxonomy places the organism in Eukaryota, Metazoa, Chordata, Mammalia, Carnivora, Ursidae. The record is from Ensembl.